Molecule: ribosomal RNA, 429 nt
Filed under: Anolis porcatus (Cuban green anole)
Lineage: Eukaryota; Metazoa; Chordata; Lepidosauria; Squamata; Anolidae
Description: partial 16S ribosomal RNA
Rfam family: Bacterial large subunit ribosomal RNA
Source: RNAcentral
UGUCUCCUAAAUAGGGACCUGUAUGAAUGGCUAAAUGAAUAUUAAACUGUCUCUUUUAACCAAUCAGUGAAACUGAUCUUCCAGUACAAAAGCUGGAAUAAUAAUAUAAGACGAGAAGACCCUGUGGAGCUUUAAAUUUUAACCAAAAUAUAAUUGCUACAAUUAUUUAUGCUUAACACUUUAAGUUGGGGCGACUUCGGAUAAAAAUAAAACAUCCGAGUGAAAGAGGCACUGCCUAAAAAAGGCUUACAAGCCAGAACUAACACUGACCCAGUACCACUGAUCAGCGAACCAAGUUACCCCAGGGAUAACAGCGCCAUCUUCUUCAAGAGUUCAUAUCGACAAGAAGGUUUACGACCUCGAUGUUGGAUCAGGACACCCAAAUGGUGCAGCCGCUAUUAAAGGUUCGUUUGUUCAACGAUUAACAGU